This 474-nucleotide ribosomal RNA is filed under the name uncultured bacterium. RNAcentral describes it as "bacterial SSU rRNA". It matches the Rfam family "Bacterial small subunit ribosomal RNA", at positions 8 to 473 of the family's 1533-position model. The record is from RNAcentral.
AGAGUUUGAUCCUGGCUCAGGAUGAACGCUAGCGGCAGGCCUAACACAUGCAAGUCGAGCGGGAUUAGUUUAUAGCUUGCUAUAUACUAUGAGAGCGGCGCACGGGUGAGUAACGCGUAUGCAAUCUGCCUCAUACAGGGGGAUAGCCCGGAGAAAUUCGGAUUAAUACCCCAUGGUACUUUAGUUUCGCAUGGGAUUAAAGUUAAAGAUUUAUCGGUAUGAGAUGAGCAUGCGUCCUAUUAGCUAGUUGGAGAGGUAACGGCUCCCCAAGGCGACGAUAGGUAGGGGUUCUGAGAGGAUGAUCCCCCACACUGGUACUGAGACACGGACCAGACUCCUACGGGAGGCAGCAGUGAGGAAUAUUGGUCAAUGGACGAAAGUCUGAACCAGCCAUGCCGCGUGCAGGAUGACUGCCCUAUGGGUUGUAAACUGCUUUUAUUCGGGAAUAAACCUCUUUACGUGUAGAGAGCUGAA